Long non-coding RNA from Stegodyphus dumicola, 467 nucleotides. RefSeq lists it as uncharacterized. Lineage: Eukaryota; Metazoa; Arthropoda; Arachnida; Araneae; Eresidae. The record is from RefSeq and is a predicted model, not a curated record.
UCCAAGAUUAAGGCCAUCAGCUCCUCUUAAACUGCUUUUCAGUUGUUGUUUUCUGGCGUGCGUAGCCCUGAGGAUAGCUGAGAUAAUGCUUAAGUCUGGAGAACGUCGAGGUCUAGAAACAAGGACGUUUCUAUGUUGGUUUUGUUGUGAGAAACUGUACUUUGCAGAAACAAAUGAGAAAUUACCAGUCUAUUGACGUGGAUUUGACUGUCUGACAUUCACUUUGACGGGUCGCUACUCGCUUUGUGUUGAUGCAGUUCUACUGAUUGAUCACACUGGCGUGUAAAGAGAAGAUGACGAUCGAGGAUUUCUUCUAUUAACUGGUCAGCUGUAACCCCCUGUACUAUAACUGGACUAUAAUUUCCCAUGGAUUACAUGGACUAUAUGAUGCUCUAUCCUCUUGGGUAAAUUUGUUAACUUCGGAUGUCCGCUGUAUAAGCUUGAAAUAAAAUGCAUACCACACUGAA